RNAcentral lists this ribosomal RNA (1638 nucleotides) under Triticum aestivum (bread wheat). Its description in RNAcentral is "partial small subunit ribosomal RNA". The record is from RNAcentral. Lineage: Eukaryota; Viridiplantae; Streptophyta; Magnoliopsida; Poales; Poaceae.
AUGCCAUCGCCUUCCCCAAUGGCGCCACUUUCCUGCCGUGACCUCUCCCCGCAGCUCUCCUCCCUCCCGCACCGCGGCACCGCCGCCGCCACCACCCACACACAAAUCUCCCUCCGACGCGCUCCAGCCCCGCGCACACCACUCACCACCGCCAAAAGACUGCAGCUCCCCUCCGCGGCCACCAGGGACGACGCGCUCGCCUCCCUCGUCGGCCAGCUAGGGCAGAACCUCACCCAAGACGAGGAAGAGGACGACCUGUACCUUCCCGACGAUGCUUCGUCCGGCCGGCGCCGCGGAGCACAGAAGCACCAGGACGAGCUGCCCGCACGGUGGCGGGAGAUCCACGGCAGCGACGACUGGGCGGGGCUUCUUGACCCGAUGGACCCGCUGCUCCGCUCCGAGCUCAUCCGCUACGGCGAGCUCGCGCAGGCCUGCUACGACGCCUUCGACUACGACCUGGCCUCCCGCUACUGCGGCAGCUGUAAGUACCCGCGGAGCGCCUUCUUCGAGCGGCUGGGCAUGCCCGACGCGGCGCGGGGCUACGCCGUCACCCGCUACCUGUACGCCACGUCCAACUUCCGCUUCCCCAACUUCUUCUCCGGGAAGUCCCGCGCCGACGCCAAGCUCUGGAGCCAGCGCGCGAACUGGAUCGGCUACGUGGCCGUGUCCACCGACGAGGAAUCCGCGCGGCUGGGCCGGCGCGACAUCGCCAUCGCGUGGCGCGGCACCAUCACGCGGCUCGAGUGGGUGUCGGACCUCAUGGACUACCUCCGGCCCGUCGCCGACGAGGGCAUCCCGUGCCCGGACCCCGAGGUGAAGGUGGAGUCCGGCUUCGUGGACCUCUACACCGACAAGGACCCCUCCUGCCGCUUCUGCAAGUACUCCGCUCGGGAGCAGGUCCUGGUGGAGGUCCGCAAGCUCGUUGCCCACUACACCGCCCUCGGCGAGGACGUGAGCAUCACCGUCACCGGCCACAGCCUCGGCAGCUCGCUCGCCAUCCUCAGCGCCUAUGACAUCGCCGAGUCCGCCGCCAACCUCUCCAACGGCAAGAGGGCGGCGGUGUGCGUGUACUCCUUCUCGGGGCCGCGGGUGGGGAACGGGCGGUUCAGGGAGCGGUUCGAGGGGGAGCUCGGGGUGAAGGCGCUGCGGGUGACGAACGUGCACGACAACGUGCCGCGGAUGCCGGGGAUCUUCCUGAACGAGGGGGUGCCGGAGAUGGUGCGGCGGGUGGCGGAGGGGCUGCGGAUGCCGUGGUGCUACAGCCACGUCGGCGUGGAGCUCGCCCUCGACCACAAGCGCUCGCCGUUCCUCAAGGACACGCUCGACCCCGGCUGCUCCCACAACCUGGAGGCGCACCUGCACCUCCUCGACGGGUACCAUGGCAGCGGGGAGCGGUUCGUGCUGGCGAGCGGGCGCGACCCGGCGCUGGUGAACAAGGCGUCCGACUUCCUCAAGGACCACCACUGCGUGCCGCCCUACUGGCGCCAGGACGAGAACAAGGGCAUGGUCCGCGCACCCGACGGCCGCUGGAUCCAGCCCGACCGCCGUGGCCACCUGGACGACGAUCAUCACCACGACGGUCACCACGUCGUCGACGGCGACCACCACGGCCACUUCCGCCUCUUCCGCCAGCCGUGA